RNAcentral lists this ribosomal RNA (939 nucleotides) under uncultured Methylobacter sp. RNAcentral's name for it is "bacterial SSU rRNA". It matches the Rfam family "Bacterial small subunit ribosomal RNA", at positions 384 to 1341 of the family's 1533-position model. Lineage: Bacteria; Pseudomonadati; Pseudomonadota; Gammaproteobacteria; Methylococcales; Methylococcaceae. The record is from RNAcentral.
UGAUGCAGCACGCCGCGUGAGUGAAGAAGUAUUUCGGUAUGUAAAGCUCUAUCAGCAGGGAAGAUAAUGACGGUACCUGACUAAGAAGCUCCGGCUAAAUACGUGCCAGCAGCCGCGGUAAUACGUAUGGAGCAAGCGUUAUCCGGAUUUACUGGGUGUAAAGCGUGCGUAGGCGGUUGUCUCAGUCAGAUGUGAAAGCCCCGGGCUUAACCUGGGAACGGCAUUUGAUACUGGAUAACUAGAGUUGAGUAGAGGGGAGUGGAAUUUCCGGUGUAGCGGUGAAAUGCGUAGAGAUCGGAAGGAACACCAGUGGCGAAGGCGACUCCCUGGACUCAAACUGACGCUGAGGUACGAAAGCGUGGGUAGCAAACAGGAUUAGAUACCCUGGUAGUCCACGCCGUAAACGAUGUCAACUAGCCGUUGGGUUUAUUAUAAACUUAGUGGUGCAGCUAACGCAUUAAGUUGACCGCCUGGGGAGUACGGCCGCAAGGUUAAAACUCAAAUGAAUUGACGGGGGCCCGCACAAGCGGUGGAGCAUGUGGUUUAAUUCGAUGCAACGCGAAGAACCUUACCUACCCUUGACAUCCUCAGAACUUGUUAGAGAUAACUUGGUGCCUUCGGGAACUGAGUGACAGGUGCUGCAUGGCUGUCGUCAGCUCGUGUCGUGAGAUGUUGGGUUAAGUCCCGUAACGAGCGCAACCCUUAUCCUUAGUUGCCAGCACAUGAUGGUGGGAACUCUAAGGAGACUGCCGGUGAUAAACCGGAGGAAGGUGGGGACGACGUCAAGUCAUCAUGGCCCUUAUGGGUAGGGCUACACACGUGCUACAAUGGGCGGUACAGAGGGCAGCGAACUUGCGAGAGUAAGCAAAUCCCAGAAAGCCGUUCCUAGUCCGGAUUGGAGUCUGCAACUCGACUCCAUGAAGUCGGAAUCGCUAGUAA